AGAGUAGGCAGGAUAAUGGGUUCUGUUUCGGGAAUAUUCUGUGGAGGUGUCAACCUAUGAGAAAUCCAGGAAGCCGAGAAGAAGGAGUAUGCGUGGGACUGAGUGGGGAGCUUAGGCAAGAGGUCUGCUGUAGAUCUCAGCACGUACAUCACUGGCUGUCCGUGAGACAAAACUUGUGAGCGUGGAUGCCAGGAAUUAGGCACUUUGUGAAGGUCUCUGCGUCCUGGUCUGGAUCUUCUGCCAGCCAGCAUGCACACUGGGGAUGACACAACGUUCUAUAGGCCUGGAAGAAGGAAGUACAAGGAUUGUUCCAGGAAACAUUUUCUCCCUUUGGGCUGAUAUUUGGGAGACAUCUAUCAGUCUUCUGCACCUCAUAGUUUGUCGUUUGUCACUGACUCAUGUCAUUGAGAGUUCACCCUGAACGCGCUUUUGCCUUCACCAUCCUUAUUAGAUGCUCACUGCAGACACCAGGGAGACCUGAGCCUCUAAUUAGGUAUGCAGCAUGACAUUUAAUAGAGGAUGAGCUGUGGGACACUUUGGCAGUGAAGGUAAUUAUAGAUGCUAUGUGGUUGCAGAAUUUUUAAAUUAAUAAUAGAUUAAUUCUUCCAGAUUU
Long non-coding RNA from Ochotona curzoniae (black-lipped pika), 613 nucleotides. RefSeq lists it as uncharacterized. NCBI's taxonomy places the organism in Eukaryota, Metazoa, Chordata, Mammalia, Lagomorpha, Ochotonidae. The record is from RefSeq and is a predicted model, not a curated record. The transcript has 4 exons.